Molecule: non-coding RNA, 148 nt
Filed under: Nomascus leucogenys (northern white-cheeked gibbon)
Lineage: Eukaryota; Metazoa; Chordata; Mammalia; Primates; Hylobatidae
Source: Rfam by way of RNAcentral
GCUGAGUGUGUUGGCAGGCGCUUGUAGUCCCAGCUACUCAGGAGGCUGAGGCAGGAGAAUCACUUGAGCCCAGGAGGCGGAGGCUGCAGUGAGAAGAGAUCGCACCACUGCACUCUAGCCUGGGCAACAGAGUGAGACUCUGUCUCAA